GAUGAACGCUGGCGGCGUGCCUAAUACAUGCAAGUCGAGCGAACGGACGAGAAGCUUGCUUUUCUGAUGUUAGCGGCGGACGGGUGAGUAACACGUGGAUAACCUACCUAUAAGACUGGGAUAACUUCGUGAAACCGGAGCUAAUACCGGAUAAUAUUUUGAACCGCAUGGUUCAAAAGUGAAAGACGGUCUUGCUGUCACUUAUAGAUGGAUCCGCGCUGCAUUAGCUAGUUGGUAAGGUAACGGCUUACCAAGGCAACGAUGCAUAGCCGACCUGAGAGGGUGAACGGCCACACGGGAACGGAGACACGGUCCAGACUCCUACGGGAGGCAGCAGUAGGGAAUCUUCCGCAAUGGGCGAAAGCCUGACGGAGCAACGCCGCGUGAGUGAUGAAGGUCUUCGGAUCGUAAAACUCUGUUAUUAGGGAAGAACAUAUGUGUAAGUAACUGUGCACAUCUUGACGGUACCUAAUCAGAAAGCCACGGCUAACUACGUG
This 497-nucleotide ribosomal RNA is filed under the name uncultured bacterium. Its description in RNAcentral is "partial 16S ribosomal RNA". It matches the Rfam family "Bacterial small subunit ribosomal RNA", at positions 28 to 507 of the family's 1533-position model. The record is from RNAcentral.